Molecule: ribosomal RNA, 253 nt
Filed under: uncultured bacterium
Lineage: Bacteria
Description: partial 16S ribosomal RNA
Rfam family: Bacterial small subunit ribosomal RNA
Source: RNAcentral
UACGUAGGGUGCGAGCGUUAAUCGGAAUUACUGGGCGUAAAGCGUGCGCAGGCGGUUAUGCAAGACAGAGGUGAAAUCCCCGGGCUCAACCUGGGAACUGCCUUUGUGACUGCAUAGCUAGAGUACGGUAGAGGGGGAUGGAAUUCCGCGUGUAGCAGUGAAAUGCGUAGAUAUGCGGAGGAACACCGAUGGCGAAGGCAAUCCCCUGGACCUGUACUGACGCUCAUGCACGAAAGCGUGGGGAGCAAACAGG